Phrynosoma platyrhinos (Desert horned lizard) is the source of this 72-nucleotide non-coding RNA. Lineage: Eukaryota; Metazoa; Chordata; Lepidosauria; Squamata; Phrynosomatidae. The record is from the annotation of a GenBank genome assembly.
GCCAGUAUGGUAUAGUGGUUUGAAUAUUGGACUAUGAUUCUAGAUACCAGGGUUCGAUUCCCAGCUCAGCCA